Molecule: ribosomal RNA, 430 nt
Filed under: uncultured Enterobacteriaceae bacterium
Lineage: Bacteria; Pseudomonadati; Pseudomonadota; Gammaproteobacteria; Enterobacterales; Enterobacteriaceae
Description: bacterial SSU rRNA
Rfam family: Bacterial small subunit ribosomal RNA
Source: RNAcentral
ACGCAACGCGAAGAACUUACCUAAGGCUUGACAUCUACAGAAGUCCUUAAGAGAUUAGGAGUGCCCUUCGGGAACUGUAAGACAGGUGGUGCAUGGUUGUCGUCAGCUCGUGUUGUGAAAUGUUGGGUUAAGUCCCGCAACGAGCCGCAACCCUUAUCCUUUGUUGCCAGCGAGUAAUGUCGGGAACUCAAAGGAGACUGCCGGUGAUAAACCGGAGGAAGGUGGGAUGACGUCAAGUCAUCAUGGCCCUUACGAGUAGGGCUACACACGUGCUACAAUGGCAUAUACAAAGAGAAGCGAACUCGCGAGAGCAAGCGGACCUCAUAAAGUAUGUCGUAGUCCGGAUUGGAGUCUGCAACUCGACUCCAUGAAGUCGGAAUCGCUAGUAAUCGUAGAUCAGAAUGCUACGGUGAAUACGUUCCCGGGCCUU